RNAcentral lists this ribosomal RNA (497 nucleotides) under uncultured bacterium. RNAcentral describes it as "partial 16S ribosomal RNA". It matches the Rfam family "Bacterial small subunit ribosomal RNA", at positions 28 to 507 of the family's 1533-position model. The record is from RNAcentral.
GAUGAACGCUGGCGGCGUGCCUAAUACAUGCAAGUCGAGCGAACAGACGAGGAGCUUGCUCCUUUGACGUUAGCGGCGGACGGGUGAGUAACACGUGGAUAACCUACCUAUAAGACUGGGAUAACUUCGGGAAACCGGAGCUAAUACCGGAUAACAUGUUGAACCGCAUGGUUCAACAGUGAAAGACGGUCUUGCUGUCACUUAUAGAUGGAUCCGCGCCGCAUUAGCUAGUUGGUAAGGUAACGGCUUACCAAGGCAACGAUGCGUAGCCGACCUGAGAGGGUGAUCGGCCACACUGGAACUGAGACACGGUCCAGACUCCUACGGGAGGCAGCAGUAGGGAAUCUUCCGCAAUGGGCGAAAGCCUGACGGAGCAACGCCGCGUGAGUGAAGAAGGUCUUCGGAUCGUAAAACUCUGUUAUUAGGGAAGAACAAAUGUGUAAGUAACUAUGCACGUCUUGUCGGUACCUAAUCAGAAAGCCACGGCUAACUACGUG